GAUGAAGAACGUAGCGAAAUGCGAUACGUAAUGUGAAUUGCAGAAUUCAGUGAAUCAUCGAAUCUUUGAACGCACAUUGCGCUCUCUGGUAUUCCGGAGAGCAUGCUUGUUUGAGUAUCAGUAAACACCUCAACUUCCAUAUCUUUUUUGAAAUGGGAGUUGGACUUGAGUGAUCCCAACGCUUUUCCUCACCGAAAAGUGGCGGGUUACUUGAAAUGCAGGUGCAGCUGGACUUUUCUCUGAGCUAUAAGCAUAUCUAUUUAGUCUGCCUAAAAACAGAUUAUUACCUUUGCUGCAGCUAACAUAAAGGAGAUUAGUUCUUGUGCUGACUGAUGCAGGAUUCACAAAGACAGGCUUCGGCCGACUUUGUAAACUCGAUCUCAAAUCAAGUAAGACUACCCGCUGAACUUAAGCAUAUCAAUAAGCGGAGGA
Molecule: unclassified non-coding RNA, 432 nt
Filed under: soil metagenome
Description: partial contains 5.8S ribosomal RNA, internal transcribed spacer 2, and large subunit ribosomal RNA
Rfam family: 5.8S ribosomal RNA (bases 1-120)
Source: RNAcentral